UGGCUGCAGGGUGCAGUCAUUUCCUGAGUGGAGGGAGUGGGAGGCUGGCAAAUCCACAGAGGAGGAAAGCCAGCUAUGUAGGAAGAAGCCCAGGAAAACAGCAGCAAGAGAUAGGACUGUAUGGGGACUGUAGCUGUUUGUUAUAGGGUCUCUGGGCUGGAACCAUAGGAACCAACUCUGUGGGUGCUCUGGGGCUGGAGCACCCACAAGGAAAAAUGGGGAGGACUUUAGUGAUCUGGCUGGAGGGCCUAGCCAUGGAGAGGAAGCUGCAGACCUGGGAGUGAGCAGGGCAGCAGAGCGAGACAAGAUGGGAGAAGAAAACACCGGAGGGAGAACACAAGAUGGCAGAACUAAUCCCCAGGACAGCUGGCAGGAGGUGCUGUUCAUGAGGCCUGACCCUGAAGCCGUCCGGAACCCCGCCCAUUCCGCACACCAGAACUGCCAGUCUGAGACCAUGCAGACACACUGAGGGUAUAUGCUGAACCCCAAACACCUGGACCACUGGAUCUUUUCCCUGCACUACCAUUGGACCCUGACUAUUUGUGAACUCAUCCUGCUGCAGGAUCUGAAAUGGACUGCAUCAUCUUCACAAAUUGCCCGAUUUCUGGCUGCUUAGGACACGACUCCCUUCCUGGCCUCUUGCUCUUUUCUUUCUCCUUCCUGACCUUUCCAGUUGUUCCCUGGUCCAGGAUAGGCAACAAAUGGCCCCCUGUAUCAAGCAGCUGUAACGGGUCAGUUAGCCCAUCCCGCUGCCCACCUGGUCUUGUAGCUUCACAGGGUGUGGCUGCCGUUCAUGCUUGCUUAGCCCUGGCACACCAUUGUGCCGCCCAUGGUCCCAGCCCUGCAGCCUGCCAGCCAUGUGCCUAGCACAGUCAAGCAGGUUUGGGCUGUUGCCAGACAGCUGCCUAUGCUCCAUGCCGAACAGAGCUGCUCCGCAUGCUCUGGUGGUCCUGACUGCUAGGCAAACUGGCAGACAGAAAGUGGCCCUGAAUGCAGGGUUCCUGUUACGGUUCCAAAUCCUGCGAGAUCUCCGGCCUGCCACAGAAGUCUUAUGGGAGCUGGAAAUCUUACAGGGACUUGGCCCAUGCUGUCCUUUAAUGCCCUCUCACAACAUGGGAGCCACCCAACUUACCCGUCAUGAAGCUGGGUGCCAUUUUGACUCCACACAGAAGUUUGCUUUACCAAAAGAAUGUCACUCCCUCCCACCCCCCAGCAUGAAGCGAUUCAGGAGGCCUCAGUGUAAACCAAACGAUGAGAUUAACUAGUACAUUGUAUUGCGUAUGGUGGUUUUUCAGGGAACUGAGAUAUGAAAGGGCCUAGUGGAAGAACUCUAAAGUCUCCUGUGUGCAAUGGAGCCAGGCUCUUUAGUAGUCAACUCUGCAGAACUUCACAGGGGGAUUUUAUAAGUGGGUUGGGAGAGUGGUGACAGCCAGAUGCACUGGCUAAAAUCCCUUUGUGGAGUGAGUGCCAUAAGCUAUAUAGCUGUAGUUGAUAGUCCGGUCACUAAUACUUGUGAUUGAAAAUAGUUACUUCUUGAACCAAAUUCCUUGCAUACUACGACCCCAUCUACAUUAUGGAAAUGUGCAUAUAUGCAAAGCCCUUAUGUAAAUACACUGCAUUGUCAUAAAGUGGAAUUUGCAAACCAGUUUUGCUUUAGCCAGCAAUGUACAGAAAAGCAUGUUUUUACACAAGUAUAUUUUUCUUAAUAUAGACAGGACUUAAAUUUACCCCAGUGCAAAUUUCCUUAAUGUAGACAGAGCAUGAAAUGAGAAUAGUCUCUCCUCUACUGUACUGUAGAAGUAAUGUCUCAAGAUGUUGAGACAUUGCUUCCUUAAAUCUUGCCCCAACAUGACA
Long non-coding RNA from Mauremys mutica (yellowpond turtle), 1854 nucleotides. RefSeq lists it as uncharacterized. NCBI's taxonomy places the organism in Eukaryota, Metazoa, Chordata, Testudines, Geoemydidae. The transcript is spliced from 3 exons. The record is from RefSeq and is a predicted model, not a curated record.